Molecule: long non-coding RNA, 1681 nt
Organism: Callithrix jacchus (white-tufted-ear marmoset)
Lineage: Eukaryota; Metazoa; Chordata; Mammalia; Primates; Cebidae
Source: Ensembl
UGAAUUAAUUUAUAUAUGGUAUGAAAUAGUAGUCCAAUUCAUUUUACUGAAUGUGGAUAUAAAGUUGUCCCAGCAUAGUUUGUUCAAGAUGCUACUCUUUCACCAUUAAAUGAUCUUGGCACACUUGUUGAAAAUCAAUUGGCCAUUAAUGUAAGGGUUUCUUUUGGGGCUCUCAGUUCUAUUUCCCUGGUCUAUAUGUCUAGUUGUGUUACAGUAUCAAACCUUUUAGGUUGCUGCAGCUUUAUAGUAUGUUUUGAAAUCAUGAAUUAUUACUCCUCCAACUUUGUUCUUUUUUUUCUUUUUGCAAAAAUUGUUUUGGCUAGUGGGAUUCCUUGCAAUUCUAUAUGCAAGCAACCUUUUUUGUAAAUAUCGGUGAUCAAAUUUUAAAGUGUACAUGGGAAGGCAAAAGACCUAGAGCAAUUAACACAAUCCUGAAGAAUAAUAAUGCUGGAGGACUCAACUAUUUGAUAUUGAGACUACAGGAAUCAAGACAGUGUGAUACUGAUAAAAGAAGGUGCAUAUAGAUUAAGAGAACAAAUGCAAAAGAAAAUGAUGAAACCAUACGCAAACCUUAGAAUGUCUGCAAACAUUAGCUCAAACUGCAUCAUAGACCUAAAUGUAAAACUCAAAAACUAGAAAACUUCUAGAAGAAAACAGGAGAAAUCUAAGUUCCCUUGGGUUGGAUGGAGGGUCUUUACAUGCAACAAUAAAACAAUGAUCCUUGAAAGAAAAAAAAGUGAUAAGUAUAAUUUUAUUAAAGUUAAAAGCUUCACUCUGUGAAAACAAUACUAAGAUGAUAAAAUAGCAAGUUACAGACUGGGGAAAAAUGUGACACACACAUAUUGAAUAAAGUACUUGUAUUCAAAACACACAAAACUCUCGAAGCUCAACAAUUAAAAAAAAACAGAAGCGGGGAGGACUCAAGAUGGCGCUGUGAGAACAACCCAGGAUUGGAGCUCUCUUUGAGUCUGCGGAGAGGUUGGAGUGCACUGGCGCAAUUUCCACUCACUGCAACCUCCACCUUCUCAGGUCAAAGCCAUUCUCCUGCCUCAGCCUCCCGAGUAGCUGGAAUUACAGGUAUGGACCACCAUGCCCGGCUAAUUUUUUUUCCUGUUUUUAGUAGACACAAGGUUUCACCACGUUGGCUAGGCUGGUCUCAAACUCCUGACCUCAUGAACCGCCCACCGCAGCCUCCCAAAGUGCUGGGAUUAUAGGCGUGUGCCAAUACACCCAGCUGUAAAAGCUUUAAAACAUUCAUAAGACUGAAAUGGCCAAGUUAGAGAACAGGUACUCCCGGUGAGCAGGAAGAACCACAGGAGAGCUUCAAAUAUCCAUCUACAAAGUAAUGCUUUAAAUAAUUGCUUGAAAAAGUGGCAAAAUGCUGGCCGUUGGCAGUCUACCUUUCUGCACACAUUAUAUAUUUUGUAACUUCCAAGAAGCAUGAAACAGAUGAGCUUGACUGGGAACCAGAGGAGGCAGCAGCAGUUUGAAUGGGAGAAGCAUCAGGGGACCGGGACUGCCUUUGCUCUGUCCUGUCUGGCUCCCGUCUGGAAGGCCUGAGCUAGGGCCUCCCCAUACAGCAGUCACUUCCCCUUUCUUCUGUCUUCUUUAAUUUUCAGGAAAGUUUCCAGUGAUGGGGAUUACCGCACCCCUGUCACAGCUGAGUAAAGUGAGGCACAAU